CAUCAUGUUUUGUGUUUUGAUGCUGUAUAUUACACCGUCAUCUAUUAUCUGUUCUUUUAGAUGAUGAAAUCUAAUUACUUGAAUGGUGUAUUUUGGCAUUAAAACUCUAUCCAGUUGAAUCUCCCCUCUACUUCUUAUACUAGAGCUAAAAUCGCAAUGCUAAGUGAAAGAGCACCAGCAACUUUGGGUCUAUCUCUUUAUGUGUUCGGUAGCUGCUUUGUUUUUGGAAUCAAAUGAAAGUGUGAUUUUAUUUCAUUUGUAAAAUUUCAUAAUAUUUUAUUUACAAAUGUGUAUAUUUGAAAUGAAGGUAGACUUGGAUUUAUGUUUAAGUAAUGUAAAAUUCAAAUACUCAUAAUUUCAUGUCUGAACGCAUUUUCCCUGAUUGGCAAAAAAAUUGUGAUAUGGUGGUUGAUUUGUAUACUUAUUAAAGAAUUUAUUAUUUUCUCAAUGUUUUGAGUAUGGAUGUGCAUUCAGGAAGAUUGAAGACUUGGAGGAUGGCAGCUAAUGAGGAAGGAGAGGAGAAUACUUCUCGUGGAAAUGAGUGGGAAGUUGUAUCACUUACAGCAUCAACAUAUGCUGCUGCUGGUGCUUCUGGUCCAGAAGUUGAACUGAAGUAUGAAAACAAGGAUAAUGCACAUGGAGAGGAUGAAGCAGAAACUUCUCGUGCUUUGUUCAUGUCUGGUCAUUUUGUCUUUCCACCUAGCCAGCAUGAGAAUUUGCCAUUGGAUCCUGAUAAUAGUGAGAUUCUCAAUGAACAAGCUGGGGAGAAUGUUGCCUCUGAACAGGGUGCGGAAGAAGGGGAUAAAUCUGGCAGAAAGGAUGAAGAAAACUUUAAACUUAAGGAGUUGAAUGUAUCUGAAGAGUUUCCUGGGAUACAGUUUUUUGAUGACAAGGAGCAGAGUAUAUACAGUACAUCUACUUUUAGUUCUUUGCACAGUGAAACUGGACUCAGUGGAUCAGCUGCAUAUGGAGAGAACCUGGUUAUUCCUGUAGUAAAUGAACAGGCUAAAGAGGAGUUGGAUUUCUCAACAGACAUUUGUCACUCCCCAAAGCCUGCUAAAGAUGGUAAAGAUGAUGGGUCUGACCUUCCAUGUGAGGCUUGGUGGAAGAGAAGGGCAACUUCCUUGUACACUCAUGCAAAAGAGACAAAUGCAUUUUGGUCCAUUUUUGUUGCAGCAGCAGUUAUGGGCCUUGUAAUUCUUGGACAGCGCUGGCAACAGGAGAGGUGGCGGGUUUUGCAACUCAAGUGGCAGGCUAGCAUUAAUGAGAAAAGUGGCAGGAUGCUGGGGCCUAUAUCACGUCUUAAGGAUGUGAUUGUGGGUGGCCAUCGCCGUGGAUCCCUUAUCAGGGGAGGUUCCUCAAAUGAAAAUUAAGAUGAUGAUGAAAAUGUUAAAGAGAUUGUUUCAGGGUGGUUAUUAUUGUAUUUUGCUGUGUGGUUGACCUAUUUUUCUAAUGACAAAGCUCAGUAAGUUUUACUUGUGUAAUUAAGGUGGCAUAUUGGUUUGUGGGGGAAAGUAUGGCAAUUUAAUUUCUUUGGAGAAUGGUGGGUACAUAACUGAGCAUCUAAAUAUCAAUAAUUAUUAUUUUAUUUCGGUAGUCACGAAGGCUUUCUGUCGAGACUUUGAAGCCAUUCAAGUGUAGCAUGCCACUAAAAAACCUGCCCCAAUCAUAUAUACAUUUAGGUGAGAGCCUAGGAAAUCUCUUUCGAAUUUGUAGAGCAACUGUCGUUUACGCGACAUUCUUCACUGUUCAUACGCCCGGCUCGAAGCGAAAACUUCUUCUGCCUCUCUCAACGCCUAGACAUGAUAGGAGAAUGUUAAAAAUAUUGUUAUAACUAUUGGCCCGUUUGAUUCUUAUAUUAGAAUGGGAAUCAAUAUUGGAACCCUGAAAUGAUGAAUUUUUAUUUAUAUUUGAUUCAGUGUG
Molecule: unclassified non-coding RNA, 1923 nt
Filed under: Hevea brasiliensis (rubber tree)
Lineage: Eukaryota; Viridiplantae; Streptophyta; Magnoliopsida; Malpighiales; Euphorbiaceae
Source: RNAcentral